GGGUUGUGAGGUUAAGCGACUAAGCGUACACGGUGGAUGCCCUGGCAGUCAGAGGCGAUGAAGGACGUGCUAAUCUGCGAUAAGCGUCGGUAAGGUGAUAUGAACCGUUAUAACCGGCGAUUUCCGAAUGGGGAAACCCAGUGUGUUUCGACACACUAUCAUUAACUGAAUCCAUAGGUUAAUGAGGCGAACCGGGGGAACUGAAACAUCUAAGUACCCCGAGGAAAAGAAAUCAACCGAGAUUCCCCCAGUAGCGGCGAGCGAACGGGGAGCAGCCCAGAGCCUGAAUCAGUGUGUGUGUUAGUGGAAGCGUCUGGAAAGGCGCGCGAUACAGGGUGACAGCCCCGUACACAAAAAUGCACAUAUUGUGAGCUCGAUGAGUAGGGCGGGACACGUGGUAUCCUGUCUGAAUAUGGGGGGACCAUCCUCCAAGGCUAAAUACUCCUGACUGACCGAUAGUGAACCAGUACCGUGAGGGAAAGGCGAAAAGAACCCCGGCGAGGGGAGUGAAAAAGAACCUGAAACCGUGUACGUACAAGCAGUGGGAGCCUCUUUUAUGGGGUGACUGCGUACCUUUUGUAUAAUGGGUCAGCGACUUAUAUUCUGUAGCAAGGUUAACCGAAUAGGGGAGCCGAAGGGAAACCGAGUCUUAACUGGGCGUUAAGUUGCAGGGUAUAGACCCGAAACCCGGUGAUCUAGCCAUGGGCAGGUUGAAGGUUGGGUAACACUAACUGGAGGACCGAACCGACUAAUGUUGAAAAAUUAGCGGAUGACUUGUGGCUGGGGGUGAAAGGCCAAUCAAACCGGGAGAUAGCUGGUUCUCCCCGAAAGCUAUUUAGGUAGCGCCUCGUGAAUUCAUCUCCGGGGGUAGAGCACUGUUUCGGCAAGGGGGUCAUCCCGACUUACCAACCCGAUGCAAACUGCGAAUACCGGAGAAUGUUAUCACGGGAGACACACGGCGGGUGCUAACGUCCGUCGUGAAGAGGGAAACAACCCAGACCGCCAGCUAAGGUCCCAAAGUCAUGGUUAAGUGGGAAACGAUGUGGGAAGGCCCAGACAGCCAGGAUGUUGGCUUAGAAGCAGCCAUCAUUUAAAGAAAGCGUAAUAGCUCACUGGUCGAGUCGGCCUGCGCGGAAGAUGUAACGGGGCUAAACCAUGCACCGAAGCUGCGGCAGCGACACUAUGUGUUGUUGGGUAGGGGAGCGUUCUGUAAGCCUGUGAAGGUGUACUGUGAGGUAUGCUGGAGGUAUCAGAAGUGCGAAUGCUGACAUAAGUAACGAUAAAGCGGGUGAAAAGCCCGCUCGCCGGAAGACCAAGGGUUCCUGUCCAACGUUAAUCGGGGCAGGGUGAGUCGACCCCUAAGGCGAGGCCGAAAGGCGUAGUCGAUGGGAAACAGGUUAAUAUUCCUGUACUUGGUGUUACUGCGAAGGGGGGACGGAGAAGGCUAUGUUGGCCGGGCGACGGUUGUCCCGGUUUAAGCGUGUAGGCUGGUUUUCCAGGCAAAUCCGGAAAAUCAAGGCUGAGGCGUGAUGACGAGGCACUACGGUGCUGAAGCAACAAAUGCCCUGCUUCCAGGAAAAGCCUCUAAGCAUCAGGUAACAUCAAAUCGUACCCCAAACCGACACAGGUGGUCAGGUAGAGAAUACCAAGGCGCUUGAGAGAACUCGGGUGAAGGAACUAGGCAAAAUGGUGCCGUAACUUCGGGAGAAGGCACGCUGAUAUGUAGGUGAAGCGACUUGCUCGUGGAGCUGAAAUCAGUCGAAGAUACCAGCUGGCUGCAACUGUUUAUUAAAAACACAGCACUGUGCAAACACGAAAGUGGACGUAUACGGUGUGACGCCUGCCCGGUGCCGGAAGGUUAAUUGAUGGGGU
This 1872-nucleotide ribosomal RNA is filed under the name Escherichia coli. RNAcentral's name for it is "partial 23S ribosomal RNA". It matches the Rfam family "Bacterial large subunit ribosomal RNA", at positions 1 to 1890 of the family's 2925-position model. Lineage: Bacteria; Pseudomonadati; Pseudomonadota; Gammaproteobacteria; Enterobacterales; Enterobacteriaceae. The record is from RNAcentral.